RNAcentral lists this ribosomal RNA (253 nucleotides) under uncultured bacterium. RNAcentral's name for it is "partial 16S ribosomal RNA". It matches the Rfam family "Bacterial small subunit ribosomal RNA", at positions 524 to 776 of the family's 1533-position model. RNAcentral also lists the same sequence under 1 other name. The record is from RNAcentral.
UACAGAGGUCUCAAGCGUUGUUCGGAAUCACUGGGCGUAAAGGGUGCGUAGGUGGCGUGGUAAGUCAGAUGUGAAAGCCCAGGGCUCAACCCUGGAACUGCAUCCGAUACUGCCAUGCUAGAGAACUGAAGAGGAGUGUAGAAUUCUCGGUGUAGCAGUGAAAUGCGUAGAUAUCGAGAGGAAUACCAACGGCGAAGGCAGCACUCUGGGCAGUUUCUGACACUGAGGCACGAAGGCUAGGGGAGCAAACGGG